UCUCGCUCACAGCAACCGGCGACAUCACUCUCACUACUGCAGCUCAGCUCAGCUCAGCUCAGCAAGCAAAUUGUUCGAUCGAUCGUCGUCGACUAUGGCCGCCGCCUCCUCCUCGCAGCAACCACCGCGCCUGCUAGUACUCGUGGCGGUCUCGUGUCUCCUCCUGCAGAGUGCCAUCACCAGCAGCUCGGCGGAGUCGUCGAUGCAGUGCCACGAGGAGGACCAGGAGGCGCUGCUGGCCGUGAACUCCGCGCUGGGCAGCCCCUACCACUUCGCGUCGUGGACGCCCGACACCUUUUGCUGCGACUGGUACGACGUGGACUGCGACAACGUCACGGGCCGCGUCGUCGGCCUCACCGUGUUCGGCGACGGCAACCUGACGGGCGCCAUCCCGGACGCCAUCGCCAACCUGACCAACCUCCGCACGUUGGUCCUGCGCCACCUCCCGGGCAUCUCCGGCGGCAUCCCGGUCUCGCUCGCGCAGCUCGCCAACCUCACCCAGCUCACCAUCUCCUCCACCGGCGUCUCCGGCCCGGUGCCGUCGUUCCUGUCGCAGCUAACGGAGCUCACCCUCCUAGACCUCUCCUUCAACUCCCUCGACGGCGCCAUCCCGGAGACGCUCGCCGACCUCCCCGCCCUCUCCAGCAUCGACCUCAGCCGCAACCGCCUCUCGGGCCCCGUCCCGCCGCUGCUCCUAAGCAAGUACGUCGACGACCAGGCGGCGUACCUCAUGCUGUCGCACAACAACCUCUCCGGCAGCAUCCCCGCCGGGUUCGCCUCCGUCAGCUUCGCGUACCUGGACCUGUCGCGCAACGCCUUCGCCGGCGACGCGUCGGGCGUGUUCGGCAAGGGGAAGCCGCUGCAGCACUUGGACCUCUCCCGCAACGGCUUCGCCUUCAGCCUCACGGCCGUGGACCUGCCGGAGCAGCUGGCGUACCUGGACCUGAGCCACAACGCCAUCCGCGGCCGCAUCCCGGCGCAGGUGGCCGACCUCGCCGGGCUGCAGCUGUUCAACGUCAGCUACAACAAGAUGUGCGGCGUGGUGCCCACGGGAGGGAGCAUGGCCAAGUUCGACGCCUACAGCUACCAGCACAACAAGUGCCUCUGCGGCACGCCGCUGCCGGCAUGCGGCCACCGUUACUAUUGAUCGAUCGAUCCAUCCAUCUAUCGAUCAUGAAAGUGUCAUGCUUGUUCUUGUGUACGUUCCAGCAAGGUAAAGUACAGUUCCAGGCAAGGUAAAGUACACUUCCAGCAUUGGAUCGAGCUGAGACUGAGAAGCAACUAUAGCCAGUGUGGUGUGGCAGUGAAUAAUAAUGCAUGGUUAUCUGUGCCUGCUAGCUAGGCAUAUAGACUGAUUAAUAAGCUCAAUGCAUAAUGUACUAUAUAUAUAUAUGUGAGUCUCUCUUCCAAUCGAGUACCAGCAAUAAUAAUAUAUUAUAUUGUUGCUUCAGAAAAUGCUCUUGCAGCAGCCCACAUCUUCCAUGUGAUUCUU
RNAcentral lists this unclassified non-coding RNA (1492 nucleotides) under Zea mays. Its description in RNAcentral is "misc RNA Zm00001eb267490". The record is from RNAcentral. Lineage: Eukaryota; Viridiplantae; Streptophyta; Magnoliopsida; Poales; Poaceae.